Molecule: ribosomal RNA, 395 nt
Filed under: uncultured bacterium
Lineage: Bacteria
Description: partial 16S ribosomal RNA
Rfam family: Bacterial small subunit ribosomal RNA
Source: RNAcentral
AUACGUAGGGUGCAAGCGUUAAUCGGAAUUACUGGGCGUAAAGCGUGCGCAGGCGGUUUUGUAAGACAGUGGUGAAAUCCCCGGGCUCAACCUGGGAACUGCCAUUGUGACUGCAAGGCUGGAGUGCGGCAGAGGGGGAUGGAAUUCCGCGUGUAGCAGUGAAAUGCGUAGAUAUGCGGAGGAACACCGAUGGCGAAGGCAAUCCCCUGGGCCUGCACUGACGCUCAUGCACGAAAGCGUGGGGAGCAAACAGGAUUAGAUACCCUGGUAGUCCACGCCCUAAACGAUGUCAACUGGUUGUUGGGGAUUUAUUUUCUCAGUAACGAAGCUAACGCGUGAAGUUGGCCGCCUGGGGAGUACGGCCGCAAGGUUAAAACUUAAAGGAAUUGACGGGG